UAAAUAAAAGUUUUACUGACAUGCUGUCCUUUCCUGGAGGAGAAGUUAUUUCACGGAAUCAUGAAGGUAGGGAAAUAUUGUCACCCCCAACACUCUGUAUCUCUGACAAAGCUCAAGUUCAGUUUUGCUGUUGACUUCAGAAAUACAUUAAAUAUGUACUCAUGCAGCAACACUCUCUUAUAGAACACUCCCACUGUGAUAGUCUAUCUGGAAUUCUCCCUUUUUUCUUCACUCAAGUGGUUUCUAGGCGUCGACACCUUCACGUUUGUAUACAUUCCAUUACAUAUUCUUUAAACUGUAAUCUUAUUCUGCUCCAUUUUUUACUUGACUGAUUUCUUUUGAACAAGAUACACCUUUUGAUCACUGUCCUCAUAAUGAACUCUAUACCACCAAGUCUCAGGGAUAUUUACAAGACUGCCAAGUACAAUUAUUUGUUUGAACCAAGUCUCAAGAGUGGCCAGCGAUGACUUGGCUAAGAGUUAAGCUGAAUUCUCAGAGGGACAAGUUCCGUUAUGGUUGGAGAUCCACCCUCAUCCCACACCACAAAACGUUCAUUUACCACGGAUGUACUUACAUCCCAACAAACUGAAAAUGCUGACCAACUGCAGCACAGCCAACUCGAAUUUGCUCUUUCGUCAAAGUGACCAGCACCUCAUUUCUUCGUCUUUAGAAUUUGUAGUGGACCUGGAAUACAGUCAUGAUCCUGAAUUGCUCUCAACCACGUAGCUGAGGAUGGCAUCCCAGGAGAUGGCAGAACAACAGAUUCAGCGGUUCUCAACCUGUGGUCUCCCAACCAACAGCAUCAGUAUCAUCUGGGAACAGGUUAGAAAUGUGUAUUCUCAGCCAAUCUAAUCCAGAUCUAGUAAAUAAGAGACUCUGGGGCCAACAGUCUGUGUUUUAACAAGCCCUCCAGGUGAUUCUGGUGCAUGCUUCAUGCUAAAGCUUGAAAAUCACUGCUUUAACCCUCAUCGCAUCUCUGGAAGCCAGUCAAGGAAGUCUAUAAGAUCGGGCAGACCAUAAUUUCCUCACUCAAAAUGAUGACUCCAAUUUUCAACCAUUGUGCUUCUUUAUAACAUCACUUCUGUGGGUUUGUGUAGUUAUAAAGCAAUGAUGCUAUGCUGCUACCUGUGUUGUCAGAGGUAAAACCGAUCUAUAAUUUAGAUCUGUUAACAUAACUUGUUAAGAGGGGUAUUGUGGAAAUAGAUUUUUCUAUAUACAGAGAGACACAGGGGCAUAUGCAAAUCCUAUUAUGCAGAAGCUAGUGCUUCUGCAAGACUUCUGAGGAAAACAACAACAACAAAAAACCUGCCAGAAGGACAAGGCCAGGAAAAGAAACACCAAAGUAUUAGCUGAGAUUUUGAAUCCAAAUUGCAAUGUGAAUAGUGAUUAUUCUGGAUUGCAAGGUGGAUGCUUUAAUCCAGGCUAGAGACAUACUCAUGUUCUCCAAACAUGUAAGCGUUGCCCCUUUCACCCUUAGUGCACCCAGGAAUCUCAUCCCUCCAUGGGAGAACAAGCUGAUUGAUGAGAGGUACAAGUAAGAAUCACUGGUAUCAAAAUUUAGAGUUCUGCUAAUCUUGGUAGGAUGCUUUCAAGAGGAAUUUUCUUCCAAGUGCAGCUUCAAAGAAAACUUGCCAAGAAGAGAGAGCACACUCAGACAGGCUCAUUGUAGAGAAAGCGCUACACUCAGGCACAGGCAGCCAAUGACUUGUUCUUUCUCUUGACCCCGACCGCUUCUUGGUAGAGGAUUGAGGACUGGGUGAUGGUGAAAACUCCACCUAUGCUUUCUCAAUAUCAAAGUAGCUGUUCUGUUUGGAAAACUCUAUGGAAGAGGCAUCACAUCAAUUAUUGGUGUCUUGCAAAUGAGUGUCCUGAUCAAUAGAAUUUUUUACUUUUCCACUUUUCUUAGGACCCAGAAGAUACUCAUUUAUUUAUUCAACAAAUCUUUGUAUUUGAGCCCUGUAUACCAGAAUAGGAUUUGUGGUUGCAAAGAUCACCAAGAAACAGUUCUUGACACUGAAAAGCUCCUUUGCCCUUCAAAAUACACAGUAUUAGAGGAAAAAAAAUCAACCAAAUAACUUGAUCAAAAUGGGAGGAGAAAGAGAGAAUACCUCAUUUGCCAUGGCUCUAGGAUGGAUGUUCUCAUUUCCGUGGAAAGCAAACACUUUAGGACUUCAAGCUUCCUGCUCUGAAAGAGUGCAUCGAAUAAACUCUGUCAGCUCCUGUGUUUCCAAGAUACCUGAUGCUUUUUGCCUUUGUUCUUUGUUUAUCAGAGCUGACCUUUUCUUAAUGAUAUUUUACUGUAACUGAGGUUCAUGUGGCAUCAAAUAGUACAAUUUAGAAAAAAUAAAUCCCGCGGGACUUUCUUGGUAAUUUUUCAGUGGUUUAUUAGAAUUUUAAAUACUUCAGAAAAUGGACUUUAGAAAACCCACUUGAAAGAGAAAAAAUAUUGACCUUUAUAAUAAAUUGAUACCAUUAUAAAAAUAUACCCUAGAGAACACUGGAAAUGGUCCAUUUAGAGUCGGACACUAGCAAAAUAAGCUCUUUAAUGUAUCUCAUAAAUAUAUUUUAGAGGCCUUUCAAAUGGUGAGAGAGGAGUACAGGACAGUUUUUCAUCCAUAAUCAUUAUUUUUUCUCACCACAGCUACCCAUCCAAUAUAAUUUAGACAUGACAUUUAGAUAGAAGUGGGAAAGUUUCUAUUUCCCAUUUCUAAACACAGGGGUAUGGACAGUAUCAAUUAGAUUCUAUUUAUUGUAAUAAUGUUGAUUCUAGUAGAGGUUACACAGAUGUAAGAAUUGUGCGAUGCUCUGUUUCUGGAAGAGUAGUCAAACGAUGCAUGGAAAAUGAUGGCCAUUGCAAUUGCAGUUUUAACACAAAAAUAAUAUAUUGUCUUUUUGAAUAUAUGAUAAAGUUCAUGGUUUGAGAUUAAACAGUUCACUGUGAGCAUAUAGGUGUGGAAGAAGAACCAGGAUCCCUAACAAUGUUCUCUGCCUCUGCACAAAAUGUCUGGAAGAAUUGUUUCUGUGAUUCCUCUCUGUUUUAAUCCCUCUGAAUUCCUUGGUUUUGGCUUCAUGAGUGUGUACUGGCUGAGGGGAGUCAAGUUCAUACUCUGAGUAUGGAUCGCCCCCAAAAUAGGGAAGAUUCAAAGGAUCAGCACACAAGUAAGAAUGGGGUAUUAAGCAAAGAAAAAAGAGCCAGGGAAAUAAGUGGGUUUAUUAUAAGGCUGACAAGAUCUCGAGUCAAAUGUAGGUGAAAAGAUAAGAUUUUAGUCUGUUCUCAUGCUGCUAAUAAAAACAUACAUGAGACUGGGUAAUUUAUAAAGAAAAGAGGUUUAAUUGACUCAGAGUUCCACAUGGUUGGAAAGGCCUCACCAUCAUGGUGGAAGGCGAAUGAGGAGCAAAGUCACAUCUUACAUGGAGGCAGGCAAGUGAGCUUGUGCAGAGGAACUCCCAUUUAGAAAACCAUCAGAUCUCAUGAGACUUAUUCACUACCAUGAGAACAGUAUUGGGAAAACUGUUCCCAUGGUUCAGUUUUCUCCACCUGGCCCCACCCUGGACAUGUGGGGGUGAUUACAAUUCAAGGUGAGAUUUGAGUGAGGACACAGCCAAACUCUAUCAGAUAGGAAGCUGUAAAAAAGUAAUCCCCAGAUCAUAACAACUCAUCACAAUGAAGGAUUAUGUUUUACUCACUUCACCAGUUGUGGUUGGUGGGAGGUCAGGCAUCACAGAGGCACUCUUCAUUCAGACAUAAGGAAGCAAGAGCAUCUCAUUGUCUACCCCUUAUAGUCACCAUGGCAGGGGUGAAGAGAGCUGGAGAGCCAGUCAUCUGCUCUUAAAUACUUGGCUCAGGUGGAACACAAGUCUUUUCCAUCAUUGUCCAUUGAGCAGAAUUAGUUAAAUGGCCCCAUUUGCAAGGGUAGGAAAUAUGCAUGGAAGUUUAUGGGCAUGGAUUCCUUCUCUACAAAAACAAGUGAGCAGCACAUGUUUCUGCCAGGCUGUUUGAAUGAUGAUCUCCCAUCUGAGAGGUUCUAUGGCUGAGCCACCAAGCUCAGAAGGGAUGUGGAGGGCUUAUCAUGCUGGCAAGUUACAAAGCUGUUGCUUUAGACUUGGGUUAGCCUGUGCUUGUAUUCAUGGAAUUGAUGCUUUUGACUGUUCUCUUGGUUCCCAAUUCUUGCUUUACCUGGGAAGCUGCUGUCUUCUCUUAACAUCACUACUGUGGGUCAGAUUGGUAGGAGGCCACACACCAUCAAGCAUCUGUUCCUAAUUUAUUUUGCUGAUGAUACUGACAGCAGCAGGAGCAGAGGCAGUCAGUAUAUUUGUAUGUGGCAUUUCUUUAUCAUGGUCUCCCAUAACAAAGGUAUAUUGCUGCCUAUGACAUGUUCAGUGUAGAAUGAAUACAACAGAGUUCAAAAAGAAGCCAUUUUCUUCUAUACCUGCACUUCAGUAGUCAGGCCUAUAUUUCUAUUCCAGAAAAAUGUAUACUAACAAUUGCCCAUAUUAUUUUAAAGGAGAGUUUACCAUAAGCUGGUUCCACUGGUUCAGCAUCUGCAUAGUCACAUCCUUGCUGUGGGGAGAAAACCGAUUCCAUGCCAGGGGACCUUGAAUGGUAUCUCUGCCUUCAGCUCUGGUACUCCAGAAGGCCCAGUAGGUCCCCAUUCUUAGGCUGAACCAGGAUUUGAGCUCCUGUUUACAUUGGUUGGGCAAACGUCCAUCUACAGGUAAAUGAAAGGGCACAGUCAGGUUCAAUGAUGAUAGGGAGUGACUCUGGAAUACAUGGUAUCCAUUACUUCAGCAUAUUCUGACCAGACCUGUGCUGGACUCAUUCACAGAUUGCAGGGACAGAGCAACAAUGGAUGACCAAGAAAAUACUAAAAGGGUUGGGCUGCUGAGAAUGUCAUCAGCAGCAUCCAUGCAAGAACAUUGCACAACAACAGAAGACAGUGCCAGCAGCUUUUGUUAGGGCAAGAGACAACAAAUUUAGCGUAGAUAACAGGACUCAGAACAUCAGGCACAGUUGCCCUCUGCAUAAAUGUCAGUCUCCUUGACAUGGGCCACUGGCAGCCUGAUUGGGACCUUGGCAGAUACUGGCAUCCUCAGCAGUGCUUGGCAGGUAUAGAGGGUUGUGCUUUUGGAGGGCACCAGAAGUAGAUUUCCUGCUUUUGUUCUGGGCAGAGAUAGGAAACUGGAUCCAUAGACAGCAGAGACGGGAGAAAUAAAAUGGCCUAUACCAGCUGGGUGUGGUUGCUCAUGUCUGUAAUCCCAGCACUUUGGGAAUGCCAAGGCAGGUGGAUCACCUGAGGUCUGGAGUUCAAGACCAGCCUGACCAACAUGGAGAAACCCCAUCUCUACUAAAAAUACAAAAUUAGCUGGGAGUGGGAGACAGAGGUUGCAGUGAGCCAAGAUUGUGCCACGGCACUCCAGCCUGGGUAACCAGCAAAACUCUGUCUCAAAAAAAAAAAAAAAAAGAAAAGGCCGGCUGGGCGUGGUGGCUCAAGCCUGUAAUCCCAGCACUUUGGGAGGUUGAGGCAGGUGGAUCACAAAGUCAACAGAUCGAGACCAUCCUGGUCAAAAUGGUGAAACCCCGUCUCUACUAAAGAUACAAAAAGUUAGCUGGGCAUGGUGGUGCAUGCCUGUAAUCCCAGCUACUCAGGAGGCUAAGGCAGAAGAAUAUCCUGAACUCAGGAGGCAGAGGUUGUGGUGAGCCAAAAUCGCUCCAUUGCACUCCAGUCUGGGUAACAAGAGCGAAACUCCAUCUCAAAAAAAAAAAAA
This is a long non-coding RNA of Callithrix jacchus (white-tufted-ear marmoset), 5766 nucleotides long. RefSeq lists it as uncharacterized. The record is from RefSeq and is a predicted model, not a curated record. Lineage: Eukaryota; Metazoa; Chordata; Mammalia; Primates; Cebidae.